This is a long non-coding RNA of Dermacentor andersoni, 409 nucleotides long. RefSeq lists it as uncharacterized. Lineage: Eukaryota; Metazoa; Arthropoda; Arachnida; Ixodida; Ixodidae. The record is from RefSeq and is a predicted model, not a curated record.
GAAAUGAGUUACAAGUACUUGAUUUUGACUUUUGUACUCCUUUGCGCUAUGGCUACAAUGAUUUCUGCCCACAGCUAUUGCUCAGUUACAGCCGGUGUCAUAUGUGACCCUCCCGCCUUAACGAAAACCUGUUUGUGGGACGAGAAUAGGCAAGUUUACGAACGUUGUAAGCAGAGGUUGGGCACUUGCAGUCAACAAUCUACUGGAUGGUCAAAUGUUUAUUGCAUACACAAAAACUCUGCCAUCAAUUGCCAAUGGACGGAAACAGGAAAGAAUAAAUGCGAGUGCUACUGUGAAAUCCAGCGUGGAAGUGGCUGAUGGUCACACCAAAUUUCGAGAAGCGGGCCUUCCUCUGUCCCAUCUCUGAGACCUAAUGGUAAAACUUCACUGUGAAAAUAAAAUUUUUUUU